UACGUAGGGUGCGAGCGUUGUCCGGAAUUACUGGGCGUAAAGAGCUCGUAGGUGGUUUGUCGCGUUGUUCGUGAAAACUCACAGCUCAACUGUGGGCGUGCGGGCGAUACGGGCAGACUGGAGUACUGCAGGGGAGGACUGGAAUUCCUGGUGUAGCGGUGGAAUGCGCAGAUAUCAGGAGGAACACCGGUGGCGAAGGCGGGUCUCUGGGCAGUAACUGACGCUGAGGAGCGAAAGCGUGGGGAGCGAACAGG
RNAcentral lists this ribosomal RNA (254 nucleotides) under uncultured bacterium. RNAcentral describes it as "partial 16S ribosomal RNA". It matches the Rfam family "Bacterial small subunit ribosomal RNA", at positions 524 to 776 of the family's 1533-position model. The record is from RNAcentral.